UACGUAGGGUGCAGGCGUUAAUCGGAAUUACUGGGCGUAAAGCGUGCGCAGGCGGUUUGCUAAGACAGGUGUGAAAUCCCCGGGCUUAACCUGGGAACUGCGCUUGUAACUGGCAAGCUAGAGUGUGGCAGAGGGGGGUGGAAUUCCACGUGUAGCAGUGAAAUGCGUAGAGAUGUGGAGGAACACCGAUGGCGAAGGCAGCCCCCUGGGCUAACACUGACACUGAGAGACGAAAGCUAGGGGAGCAAAUGGG
RNAcentral lists this ribosomal RNA (253 nucleotides) under uncultured bacterium. RNAcentral's name for it is "partial 16S ribosomal RNA". It matches the Rfam family "Bacterial small subunit ribosomal RNA", at positions 524 to 776 of the family's 1533-position model. The record is from RNAcentral.